CUCUUCCUGUCGAUCUCUCCCUCCUCUCUCUCUUCCUGUCGAUCUCUCUCUCUCCUCUCUCUCUUCAUGGUGAAAAUCUGGUGACUCGCCUGAUGGAAAAGGUGGAUUUGAAGCUCGGGUUAAAUCAGAUUCACACAGUGUUACUAUGACACUUCCAAGGCAACAUAUGAGCUCAUUCAAAAGAUACUACUUACAGGACUGGAGCCUGGAGCAGUUGAUGUGUUUCUUGAUUUCAUUUACUACUCAGGUGGUCCUCUACCUGACGAACUGCUCACCCAAGUUAAGGGAAUUCAUGUUUCAGAGGACUUUGUUGCCGAGCAAUUGAGGUCCAUGAUUUCUGAUAUGUAGGUUGAUGUGGUCACUCAGGUUGGCAGCUGGUAUACAGGAAGUCAAAGUUGAAAUGAAAAUGAUGCCCAUCCCAAGCAUUACAACAAAUAUGAUGUUGAACUGUGGUGCUAAUUAUUUCU
This is a long non-coding RNA of Magnolia sinica, 467 nucleotides long. RefSeq lists it as uncharacterized. The record is from RefSeq and is a predicted model, not a curated record. NCBI's taxonomy places the organism in Eukaryota, Viridiplantae, Streptophyta, Magnoliopsida, Magnoliales, Magnoliaceae. The transcript has 5 exons.